This 568-nucleotide ribosomal RNA is filed under the name Acrobeloides sp. GSt6. RNAcentral describes it as "SSU rRNA". It matches the Rfam family "Eukaryotic small subunit ribosomal RNA", at positions 1058 to 1651 of the family's 1831-position model. The record is from RNAcentral. Lineage: Eukaryota; Metazoa; Nematoda; Chromadorea; Rhabditida; Cephalobidae.
CGGUGGAUUUNUUAGCCCUGGUGGGUAGCUUCCCGGAAACGAAAGUCUUCCGGUUCCGGGGGAAGUAUGGUUGCAAAGCUGAAACUUAAAGGAAUUGACGGAAGGGCACCACCAGGAGUGGAGCCUGCGGCUUAAUUUGACUCAACACGGGGAAACUCACCCGGCCCGGACACCGUAAGGAUUGACAGAUUGAUAGCUCUUUCAUGAUUCGGUGGUUGGUGGUGCAUGGCCGUUCUUAGUUCGUGGAUCGAUUUGUCUGGUUUAUUCCGAUAACGAGCGAGACUCUAGCCUACUAAAUAGUAACGAGAUUAUCAAUGUCUCAGUUGCUUCUUAGAGGGAUUUUCGGUGUUUAGCCGCACGAGAUUGAGCAAUAACAGGUCUGUGAUGCCCUUAGAUGUCCGGGGCUGCACGCGCGCUACACUGGCGAAAUCAGCGUGCUGUAUCCAUUCUCGAAAGGGAUUGGUAAACCCAUGAAAAUUUGCCGUGCUUGGGAUCGGAAAUUGCAAUUAUUUUCCGUGAACGAGGAAUUCCAAGUAAGUGCGAGUCAUCAACUCGCUCUGAUUACGUC